Molecule: ribosomal RNA, 459 nt
Filed under: uncultured bacterium
Lineage: Bacteria
Description: partial 16S ribosomal RNA
Rfam family: Bacterial small subunit ribosomal RNA
Source: RNAcentral
CCUACGGGAGGCAGCAGUGAGGAAUAUUGGUCAAUGGGCGGGAGCCUGAACCAGCCAAGUCGCGUGAGGGACGACGGUCCUAUGGAUGGUAAACCUCUUUUGUCGGGGAACAAAGGCGCCCACGGGUGGGCGGAUGAGUGUACGCGAAGUAAAAGCAUCGGCUAACUCCGGGCCAGCAGCCGCGGUAAUACGGAGGAUGCGAGCGUUAUCGGGAUUUAUUGGGUUUAACGGGUGCGAGGGCGGACGGUCAAGUCAGCGGUAAAAAUGCGGUGCUCAGCGCGGAACAGCCGUUGAAACUGGCAGGCUUGAGUGGGCGAGAAGUAUGCGGAAUGCGUGGUGUAGCGGUGAAAUGCAUAGAUAUCACGCAGAACUCCGAUGGCGAAGGCAGCAUACCGGCGCCGUACUGACGCUGAGGUGCGAAAGCGUGGGUAUCGAACAGGAUUAGAUACCCUGGUAGUC